RNA transcript from Triticum aestivum (bread wheat), 2316 nucleotides. RefSeq lists it as uncharacterized. The transcript has 3 exons. The record is from RefSeq and is a predicted model, not a curated record. NCBI's taxonomy places the organism in Eukaryota, Viridiplantae, Streptophyta, Magnoliopsida, Poales, Poaceae.
AGCCCCUUCCCCAGUUUCCCCUCUGCCCCGACUAAAAAAAUCCCCUCUGCGCCGGCCGGCGCUCGACGGCCCGAUUCAGCGCCUUCCGCCGGAGACCGCCCGCCGCCGACGAGGGGCACGCCGGUGAUCUCCCCCAGCCCGCCUGCCCCUCUUUCAUCUCCGUUCUACUCCUUCUCUCUCGGCCCCCUCGAGCUCGCCUCGAUCCAUGGCCUCUCCUUAAACCUAGCUCCAGUCACGGCCACGACCGGCUUCGCAGCUCCCGGCCGCCAUCGCCUGCGCCUUCCCCCGUGUCUCCCUCACCUCGCCUGUGCAGCACCGUGGUUGUACAUCGCCAGCGCCAUCAGCUACAGCCCCGCUCUAAUCCACCUGCAAGCCAUGGACAGCGGCCUGGCUGCUCACUCGUCGCUGGCCUACCAGUACCUCCACCAACAUCUCAUCCAUCUAGAUCAGGGGCGCUUUAAUUUCAGCAGAUUUUCUUCUUCUUUGCAACAUGGUAAUUUUCCGGGAUAGAGUCUUGAUUUUAAUUAUUGCAGAAUGGCAAUCUGCUUUAUGUUUGCUUUAUCAUCUCAGGAUAAUCCAGAUGUUUUCCUAUGCCUUGAGGAGUUGUUGAUGGAUGAUAUACAUAGGCUACCAGGUGGUAGCUCCAAUGUUGCAACUGAGGUCAGCAAUGGGUGCUUCUCCUGGGAUGGCUCACUUGAGAUACCAACAUUGAAGGAUCUGAAUUUUCAAGCUCGGCAAGGGAUGCGUGUUGCACUUUGUGGGACGGUCGGCUCUGGAAAAUCAAGUUUGAUCACUUGAAUUCUUGGUAUGGUGCCAAAGCUAUUAGGAGAGGCCAAGACUUGCGGAACAAUGGCAUAUGUCAGCCACAAGGCAUGGAUACAGAGCGGCAAAAUUCAGGAUAACAUACUGCUCGGCAAGGAGAUGGAGAGUGAGGAGUAUGGCAGGGUCCUUGAGUGGUAUUCGCUAAAGAAAUACUUGGAGAUCAAAAUCAUUGGAGAGUGAGGCUGCACUCUUAGUGGCAGGCAGAAACAAAGGAUUCAGAUAGCCCGAGCAUUGUGAUGUAUGCUGACAACUAUUUUGUUCCAUGAUCCGUUCAACGCAGUUGAUGCUCAUACAGGAUCCCAAUUUUCCAAGAAUCUUUGCUGAACUCCCUUGGUGUUAGUUGUUCUUGAACCGAAGAAACGUGCGGUCUGGAAUUGACAUCAUUCAGUUCCUUGAUGAAAACAAAGUUGCAUGUCCUUUUAGUCUAAACGUAAUAUUAUGCCUUGGAGCAUAUGAUGGGGGUCAAAUCGCAGUUAUGAACUGCAUUGCACGUGCAUGAAGGCGAAUGAUUUUUCUGGAUGCCAUUGCCAUCUGAUCGAUGGUUUCGCCGCGGUCGUCGGGAGAAAUAUCAUCGACGGUAGGGGAAAAGCGGGUAGGCUGAGGCGGGCACCCACACCAAGCGGCCGACCCACGAAGGCGGCCAUGCAGCUCCGCCUCGUGCCUCUCUCCCCAUCUUUAUGUUCGUGUCAAACCCAGCGCAAGGUAGAGGCAGAAGAGGAGGCCGGGAAGAGAAGCUGCAAGGUAGGAUGCUUUUGAUCUGAAGGCAACAGUUGGACGAUCUGCUCACAAAGACACACCUCUAUUUUGAAUUUCAACUUGAAAAGAUUGAUCAGGUCACGAAUGUAGCUUGGCUAUGUCUCUCACUGGCGCUGAACAAUGUUUUGCUUAUUUUCAUCUUGGUUGCUGACAUUGGUGGUGUUAUCUGUCAGAGAAAGUUGUUGAAGUGGAAGAAGGUGAACCUGUAGAAGAGCUGAAAAAAGGACGUGGUAGAGACAAGGAAGCAAAGCCUAAACAGUAUAAUGAUAUGAGUUCAGAUUUCAUCUGUUUUCUUCCCUUCUUCAUCUAUAUGAUAGCAUAGCUGUCUUCUAGAUUAUGCGAAUGUCUUUGGUUGUCAUAUACUGCGGAUGCAUUGUAGUUUGAUGUGUCGUGUGUAUUAACUGCUCAACAGAGUUUCCUUGAAUAAUUAUACAGAUACUGUUCUAUCUCUUAUUGUUUCAUAAAAUUCUAAUUAACCGCUCAACCUGUGACAGUACUACCUCGCCCAGCCGCGCAUCCAAGACGCGACGCUUGCUGGAAAGCUGGUCAAGUAGGUCCUCGACUGCGAGAUUUAGCUGAUUGAUCCUGUGCAUUAGCCUAAUUGUUACAAUAAACGAACUUACAACAAUGAUGCUUUCUAUAUUGAAUUCUUAUAUUCGACCUCACCAUUGCUUAGUUUCCUUUCCUGAUGUCAAGACACAAAGAAUUUGAGAUUCAAUUUAUCUUUUUUAGUUUUCA